UCACUUUGUCUCUGCACAAUGAACAUUAUCAAAUAUUAUUAAUGUUGUAAAAUAUAUUGUUCAUUGUUAGUUCAUAUUAGCUAAGGCAUUACCAAAUGUUAAGGAAUAAACUCUUAUAGUAAAGUGUUACUAAAUUUUCUUUUACCAUUUCCUUCACAAUGUCUAUUUAUUUCUAUGGCUAACAGAUUUUGUAACAUUUGUAUUUUUUACAGUCUUACCAUUGCUUGUAAGCUGGAUUGGGUAAGAUGGAUCAUCUUUAAAGGCACCAGGAGUUAAGGCAGAUGUGGAGGCACAACGGGUGAUACCAGACACACACCAAGCACAUUAUGUUCGGACAUUCAAUCAUGACAGGAUCCAGGUGGAUGCUGUCCAUUGAGAAAAGAGUUUGUUCAGCGGUUUCUGGAUAGAAUUAAUUCCAAAGAUGGGAAAAAGUGCACAUCCAGACAAGGAGCAAGCAAAAAGACAAGGAACUUGGUGCAGAGAAAAGCUGUGGCCAUUAACCCCCAUGUGAACAGCUUCAUGCAGUCCCUGAUUGAGUUCGAAUGGACGACUUCAAAGUAAAGGCCACUGUGGUCUGUCUGCCACAGUUUAAUGCAUUUAUUUUUAGUGUUAAAUGAAAUUUAAGUAGAAUAUUGAAAACUAUGGGCCAGUGUUCUUUUUACCACAGUGAAAUGUUACCUUUUAGUCGAUGAUGGACUUUAAACUGAAAACUUCAAACUAUGGAACAGUGUUCUAU
Non-coding RNA from Paramisgurnus dabryanus, 736 nucleotides. The record is from RefSeq and is a predicted model, not a curated record. Lineage: Eukaryota; Metazoa; Chordata; Actinopteri; Cypriniformes; Cobitidae.